This 429-nucleotide ribosomal RNA is filed under the name Pseudomonadota bacterium. RNAcentral's name for it is "Proteobacteria bacterium partial 16S ribosomal RNA". It matches the Rfam family "Bacterial small subunit ribosomal RNA", at positions 355 to 776 of the family's 1533-position model. Lineage: Bacteria; Pseudomonadati; Pseudomonadota. The record is from RNAcentral.
UGGGGAAUAUUGGACAAUGGGCGAAAGCCUGAUCCAGCCAUGCCGCGUGUGUGAAGAAGGUCUUCGGAUUGUAAAGCACUUUAAGUUGGGAGGAAGGGCAGUAAGCGAAUACCUUGCUGUUUUGACGUUACCGACAGAAUAAGCACCGGCUAACUCUGUACCAGCAGCCGCGGUAAUACAGAGGGUGCAAGCGUUAAUCGGAAUUACUGGGCGUAAAGCGAGCGUAGGUGGUUCGUUAAGUUGAAUGUGAAAGCCCCGGGCUCAACCUGGGAACUGCAUCCAAAACUGGCGAGCUAGAGUAGGGCAGAGGGUGGUGGAAUUUCCUGUGUAGCGGUGAAAUGCGUAGAUAUAGGAAGGAACACCAGUGGCGAAGGCGACCACCUGGGCUCAUACUGACACUGAGGUGCGAAAGCGUGGGGAGCAAACAGG